Molecule: ribosomal RNA, 1234 nt
Filed under: Faecalicoccus pleomorphus
Lineage: Bacteria; Bacillati; Bacillota; Erysipelotrichia; Erysipelotrichales; Erysipelotrichaceae
Description: partial 23S ribosomal RNA
Rfam family: Bacterial large subunit ribosomal RNA
Source: RNAcentral
CGAGGUGAGCGAGAGAACUGUUGCCAAGGAACUCGGCAAAAUGGCUCCGUACGUUCGCAAGAAGGAGCGCUCAUGAAGAGUGAGCCGCAGUGAAGAGGCCCAAGCGACUGUUUAACUAAAACACAGCUCUCUGCGAAGUCGCAAGACGAAGUAUAGGGGGUGACACCUGCCCGGUGCCGGAAGGUUAAGAGGAUCUGUCAAUCGCAAGAUGAAGCAGUGAGUUGAAGCCCCGGUGAACGGCGGCCGUAACUAUAACGGUCCUAAGGUAGCGAAAUUCCUUGUCAGGUAAGUUCUGACCCGCACGAAAGGUGUAACGAUUUGGGCGCUGUCUCGGCAGCAGACUCGGUGAAAUCUUAGUACCUGUGAAAAUGCAGGUUACCCGCAACUAGACGGAAAGACCCCAUGGAGCUUUACUGUAGCUUGGUAUUGAACUUUGGUCAUGCAUGUACAGGAUAGGUGGGAGACGAAGAGACGCGUACGCCAGUAUGCGAGGAGUCGCCGUUGGGAUACCACUCUUGUGUGAUCGGAGUUCUAACCUGGUCCCCUGAAUCGGGGAUGGGGAGAGUGCCAGGUGGGCAGUUUGACUGGGGCGGUCGCCUCCCAAAGAGUAACGGAGGCGCCCAAAGGUACGCUCAGAUUGGAUGGAAACCAAUCGGCGAGUGCAAAUGCAGAAGCGUGCUUGACUGUGAGAGCAACAACUCGAACAGGGACGAAAGUCGGGAUUAGUGAUCCGGCGGUGCCGAAUGGAAGGGCCGUCGCUCAACGGAUAAAAGCUACCCUGGGGAUAACAGGCUGAUCUCGCCCAAGAGUUCACAUCGACGGCGAGGUUUGGCACCUCGAUGUCGGCUCAUCGCAUCCUGGAGCUGGAUUCGGUUCCAAGGGUUGGGCUGUCCGCCCAUUAAAGCGGUACGCGAGCUGGGUUCAGAACGUCGUGAGACAGUUCGGUCCCUAUCUGUUGUGGGCGCAGGAGAUUUGAGGAGAGCUGUCCUUAGUACGAGAGGACCGGGAUGGACCUACCUCUGGUGCACCGGUUGUCGCGCCAGCGGCACAGCCGGGUAGCUAAGUAGGGAAAGGAUAAGCGCUGAAAGCAUCUAAGCACGAAACCUACUCCAAGAUGAGAUCUCCCAUUCGCAAGAAGUAAGACCCCUUAAAGACGAUAAGGUAGAUAGGCCGGAGAUGGAAGUGUAGCGAUACACGGAGUUGACCGGUACUAAUCGGUCGAGGACUUAAUCAG